ACUUUAGUAUAAAUCUUCCCAAGCAAUAUUUGGGACAAACUUAUGCUAAAA
This 51-nucleotide microRNA precursor is filed under the name Marmota monax (woodchuck). Lineage: Eukaryota; Metazoa; Chordata; Mammalia; Rodentia; Sciuridae. The record is from RNAcentral.